UAUGCUGAGAUCUGAUAGCAAGCUGUACUUGUACAGCGAAGUGGCUGAUACCAUGCUUCCAGGAAAAGUCUCUAAGCUUCAGUUACACAGGAAUCGUACCCUAAACCGACACAGGUGGUCAGGUCGAGUAGACCAAGGCGCUUGAGAGAACUCUGCUGAAGGAACUAGGCAAAAUGGUACCGUAACUUCGGGAGAAGGUACGCUGUUGUUGGUGAUGGAACUUGCUUCCUGAGCUGAUGACAGCCACAGAAACCAGGCCGCUGCAACUGUUUAUUAAAAACAUAGCACUCUGCAAACACGAAAGUGGACGUAUAGGGUGUGAUGCCUGCCCGGUGCUGGAAGGUUAAUUGAUGGGGUUAGCGUAAGCGAAGCUCUUGAUCGAAGCCCCAGUAAACGGCGGCCGUAACUAUAACGGUCCUAAGGUAGCGAAAUUCCUUGUCGGGUAAGUUCCGACCUGCACGAAUGGCAUAAUGAUGGCGGCGCUGUCUCCAGCAGAGGCUCAGUGAAAUCGAAAUCGCUGUGAAGAUGCAGUGUACCCGCGGCUAGACGGAAAGACCCCGUGAACCUUUACUGCAGCUUGACAUUGAACUUUGACCUUACUUGUGUAGGAUAGGUGGGAGGCUUUGAAGUUGGAACGCUAGUUCCAAUGGAGCCGUCCUUGAAAUACCACCCUGGUAAUGUUGAGGUUCUAACUCUGCCCCGUAAUCCGGGGCGAGGACCAUGUCUGGUGGGUAGUUUGACUGGGGCGGUCUCCUCCUAAAGAGUAACGGAGGAGUACGAAGGUGCGCUCAGCGUGGUCGGAAAUCACGCGUAGAGUAUAAAGGCAAAAGCGCGCUUAACUGCGAGACCCACAAGUCGAGCAGGUACGAAAGUAGGUCUUAGUGAUCCGGUGGUUCUGUAUGGAAGGGCCAUCGCUCAACGGAUAAAAGGUACUCUGGGGAUAACAGGCUGAUACCGCCCAAGAGUUCAUAUCGACGGCGGUGUUUGGCACCUCGAUGUCGGCUCAUCUCAUCCUGGGGCUGAAGCAGGUCCCAAGGGUAUGGCUGUUCGCCAUUUAAAGAGGUACGCGAGCUGGGUUUAGAACGUCGUGAGACAGUUCGGUCCCUAUCUACCGUGGGCGCUGGAAAUUUGAGAGGAUCUGCUCCUAGUACGAGAGGACCAGAGUGGACGAACCUCUGGUGUACCGGUUGUGACGCCAGUCGCAUCGCCGGGUAGCUAUGUUCGGAAGGGAUAACCGCUGAAAGCAUCUAAGCGGGAAGCCUACCUCAAGAUAAGAUUUCCCUAGGACUUUAUGUCCUCUAAAGAGCCGUUCGAGACUAGGACGUUGAUAGGUUGGAUGUGGAAGCAUAGUGAUAUGUGAAGCUGACCAAUACUAAUUGCUCGUGAGGCUUGACUA
Molecule: ribosomal RNA, 1396 nt
Filed under: Acinetobacter calcoaceticus
Lineage: Bacteria; Pseudomonadati; Pseudomonadota; Gammaproteobacteria; Moraxellales; Moraxellaceae
Description: 23S ribosomal RNA (partial)
Rfam family: Bacterial large subunit ribosomal RNA
Source: RNAcentral